Molecule: ribosomal RNA, 496 nt
Filed under: uncultured bacterium
Lineage: Bacteria
Description: partial 16S ribosomal RNA
Rfam family: Bacterial small subunit ribosomal RNA
Source: RNAcentral
GAUGAACGCUGGCGGCGUGCCUAAUACAUGCAAGUCGAGCGAACAGACGAGGAGCUUGCUCCUCUGACGUUAGCGGCGGACGGGUGAGUAACACGUGGAUAACCUACCUAUAAGACUGGGAUAACUUCGGGAAACCGGAGCUAAUACCGGAUAAUAUAUUGAACCGCAUGGUUCAAUAGUGAAAGACGGUUUUGCUGUCACUUAUAGAUGGAUCCGCGCCGCAUUAGCUAGUUGGUAAGGUAACGGCUUACCAAGGCAACGAUGCGUAGCCGACCUGAGAGGGGGAUCGGCCACACUGGAACUGGGACACGGUCCAGACCCCCACGGGAGGCAGGAGGAGGGAAUCUUCCGCAAGGGGCGAAAGCCUGACGGAGCAACGCCGCGGGGGUGAUGAAGGUCUUCGGAUCGUAAAACUCUUUUAUUAGGGAAAAACAAAUGUGUAAGUAACUAUGCACGUCUGGACGGUACCUAAUCAGAAAGCCACGGCGAACUACGU